UCACGAUCGCAUAACCCAACUCAGCAAGGCGUUCGAAGUCGUCCCCACUCCGCAAAGGACCCUAGCAAUAGUCCACUCGGGAAGGCAUCCCACUCGCGAAGGCGCGGCUUUCCCGACUCGCGAUCGGGAAGAACCCUAGCGGCAUCCUUCACAGGAGCCUGUGGAGCUGUACUAGAUCAACAACAACCAUGAAGAUGGCAUCCAACGAGUUCUAAAGGAAAAGUUUGGCGAAGUAGUCAAGGAUAUCCAGCAAGUUGAGGAGGCCAAUAUUGAAACAAAUGUCGAGGUAGGUAGUAACUUUUGAGAAAGGGAAAGAAAAUGAUAAGUGAACAAAUAAUUGGCAGCUGCUGAUUUUUUAUUAUUCAUGUCUCACAUCAGGCUGUAAAUAACCAUCUGGCAAUAUUAUUGAGGCCUGCUAUCAGAAA
Zingiber officinale is the source of this 425-nucleotide long non-coding RNA. RefSeq lists it as uncharacterized. The record is from RefSeq and is a predicted model, not a curated record. The transcript is spliced from 2 exons. NCBI's taxonomy places the organism in Eukaryota, Viridiplantae, Streptophyta, Magnoliopsida, Zingiberales, Zingiberaceae.